UAUAAUUUACACCUAAAAUAGAAUCAAGCUCUACUAAAAAAGAAACUCUGAAACAAUUGCUGUAACUCUGCAAAUGCUGCACAAAAAAUUAUUGGGUGGAAGAUCUUCUUUAAGCUUGAUGGAAUCUGAAAACAAAGGGAGGGGAUAAUAAAUGAGAUAACUAUAGUAGACGUGGAUUGUUGGUCAUUGGAAACAAAACUAGUCAAUACAACUACAAAAAUAGACACCACAAUUAGAGGCCAAACAAGCACAAAAUAUGGACUUAAAGAUUACAAAAUUAUAAACAAAAAAUACAAGAAUUAAUGUUUUCUUAAAUUUUAAAGGUAAAAAUAUUUCCUAAAACAUUUGAAAAGGGAAAGAAGAAGGAACAGCCGAGGUUGAAACCUUCAAAGAAAAAAUUAUGCUUUAAGUACCAAAUACACCUCAAAGGAACAACCGUUUACGAAAUAAAAUCCCACUGGAACAUGAGUAUAGGACAUGGCUCCUUAAUACCUCUAAAGCCAAAUCAUCGGGUAUCUCUCCAAGUGCUCCAACUUCAUCCAAUCUUUCUUUGUAUUUUUUAUUGUAGCAUUCAAGCUCUUCCAUGCUUGGACACCAAUAUCUG
This 604-nucleotide long non-coding RNA is filed under the name Vigna radiata. Its description in RNAcentral is "long non-coding RNA (VRAD_LNC003421)". The record is from RNAcentral. Lineage: Eukaryota; Viridiplantae; Streptophyta; Magnoliopsida; Fabales; Fabaceae.